Molecule: non-coding RNA, 540 nt
Organism: Trichomycterus rosablanca
Lineage: Eukaryota; Metazoa; Chordata; Actinopteri; Siluriformes; Trichomycteridae
Source: the annotation of a RefSeq genome assembly
UCAACCAUGACCUUCAUCUCCAUCUUCAUCUGCACACUGGCUCUCUGCACUCAAGGAUCCAGAGGUCAGGUGACUGUGACUCAGAGUCCUGCAAUAAAACAUGUAGACCCAGGAGCUUCAGUCACCAUCAACUGUAAAACCAGUGUUAGGACGAAUCUUUUUAGUUCAAGAGGUCCUGAAGAAAGCAGUCAUAGAAUCCAGAAAGCUGACCCGCCUUAUGCAGAAUUAGGAAUCACCCUCAAGGAUGGGUGCCUGCAGAUCUUGUCCAGUCCCUGCGAGGGUUCUGAAGAUGAAUUAGAAGAUGAAUAUUGGUUACACUGGUAUCAGCAGAAACCUGGAGAAACUCCUAAACUCCUGAUCUAUAAUUCUAACAGCAGAGCAUCAGGUAUUCCAGAUCGUUUCAGUGGCAGUGGAUCUGGAUCUGACUUCACUCUGACCAUCAGUAGAAUUGACACUGGAGAUGCAGGAGAUUAUUACUGUCAGAGUUACCAUAGUGGUGUCGUCACACAGUGUUAUAUGGUGGUACAAAAACCUGGUUAA